AGCUUUCUGAAUCCUUGCAGAGAUUUCGUCAAACGCUAACCCAUUAGGGGUGAUCAGACUUUCGAGAUAAGUGAAGUU
Non-coding RNA from Schistosoma curassoni, 78 nucleotides. NCBI's taxonomy places the organism in Eukaryota, Metazoa, Platyhelminthes, Trematoda, Strigeidida, Schistosomatidae. The record is from Rfam.